AGCUACAGUCCCACUUGUGUCUUGGAAGGGGAUCAUGAUUUCCGCUGUGAUGCCUGUUUUCUGGGCUACGAAGGACAAUAUUGUGAGAGGUGCUCAUUGGGUUACUAUGGGAACCCUCAGAUGCCAGGCGGCAGCUGCCAGAGUUGUGACUGCAGCCCGCACGGCUCUGUCCACGGUGACUGUGACCGCGGGUCCGGGCAGUGCGUCUGCCGGCCGGGGGCCACGGGGCUCCGCUGCGGGGAUUGUGAACCGAGGCACAUUUUGGUGGAAAGCGACUGUGUGUCCUGUGAUGAUGACUGUGUGGGUGUUCUGCUGAAUGAUUUGGCUCAUGUUGGGGAUGCCAUCCUGUCUGUGAACCUCACCAGCACCAUCCCUCUCCCAUAUGGAGUUUUGUCAGACCUGGAAAAUAGAACGAAGUCUCUCCGGGUAAGUACUGCAAAUACAGAGAUUGAUAGAAGCGUGCGUCACAGGAAGUUGAAGAGUUGGUUGGGACCCUAGGGGUCAUUCUGUCUGUCCUCCACCAGUGCAGGAGUCUCAGUCCCAGUGUCUGGUGCUGGGACGUCCCCAGCCUUCUCCCUUUGACCCUGACCGAGAAUUGCAUCGUCCACGUGAUUACUGGUUUCACCGUGCAACAGCCCUGAUUGUUCAAGACUUGAUCCACAGUUGCCUCCUGUGUAUAAAUUCUUCCUCUUUGCUCCUCCUACUACCUUGUGGGAUAAGACAAGGUCCACUCGCCCCUGUUUAUAACAGGUCUUUGGACAGAAAGCAGCUCUCUUAAAACAAACACAGAAAAUGAAUUGAGACGGCAUUGUCUUUAACGUGCUGAAUGAAGAGGAACUGUUUUCCAUCAAUGUAUUAUUCUUAACUGGAGUUGAAGGCCACAAAGGUUCCUCCUCCCUCAAAGACUAUAUAAAAAUCUCUGGGGCUAAAUCAUAGUUUUAUGUUUAGUUAAAAUCUGUGUUUUGAUCUGGGUCCAAAAGACGAUGGGAAGGUAAGAAGUUGACUUGCUAGACAGCAUUUUUUAUUCUAAUUAGGGGAAAAAAUGAGUCUAAAUUUGGCCCAAAGCCUAUGCUUUAGAAUUUGAGGUAUUUAAUUCACCAUGUCAUGCCAUAAUGCCAA
This is a non-coding RNA of Odocoileus virginianus texanus, 1119 nucleotides long. Lineage: Eukaryota; Metazoa; Chordata; Mammalia; Artiodactyla; Cervidae. The record is from RefSeq and is a predicted model, not a curated record.